Molecule: ribosomal RNA, 740 nt
Filed under: Bacillus subtilis
Lineage: Bacteria; Bacillati; Bacillota; Bacilli; Caryophanales; Bacillaceae
Description: bacterial SSU rRNA
Rfam family: Bacterial small subunit ribosomal RNA
Source: RNAcentral
GGGGGGUGCUAUACAUGCAAGUCGAGCGAAUGGAUUAAGAGCUUGCUCUUAUGAAGUUAGCGGCGGACGGGUGAGUAACACGUGGGUAACCUGCCCAUAAGACUGGGAUAACUCCGGGAAACCGGGGCUAAUACCGGAUAACAUUUUGAACCGCAUGGUUCGAAAUUGAAAGGCGGCUUCGGCUGUCACUUAUGGAUGGACCCGCGUCGCAUUAGCUAGUUGGUGAGGUAACGGCUCACCAAGGCAACGAUGCGUAGCCGACCUGAGAGGGUGAUCGGCCACACUGGGACUGAGACACGGCCCAGACUCCUACGGGAGGCAGCAGUAGGGAAUCUUCCGCAAUGGACGAAAGUCUGACGGAGCAACGCCGCGUGAGUGAUGAAGGCUUUCGGGUCGUAAAACUCUGUUGUUAGGGAAGAACAAGUGCUAGUUGAAUAAGCUGGCACCUUGACGGUACCUAACCAGAAAGCCACGGCUAACUACGUGCCAGCAGCCGCGGUAAUACGUAGGUGGCAAGCGUUAUCCGGAAUUAUUGGGCGUAAAGCGCGCGCAGGUGGUUUCUUAAGUCUGAUGUGAAAGCCCACGGCUCAACCGUGGAGGGUCAUUGGAAACUGGGAGACUUGAGUGCAGAAGAGGAAAGUGGAAUUCCAUGUGUAGCGGUGAAAUGCGUAGAGAUAUGGAGGAACACCAGUGGCGAAGGCGACUUUCUGGUCUGUAACUGACACUGAGGCGCGAAAGCG